GACGGUGGAGCAUGUGGUUUAAUUCGAAGCAACGCGCAGAACCUUACCAGCUCUUGACAUGGCAGGACGGUUUCCGGAGACGGACUCCUUCACUUCGGUGACCUGCACACAGGUGCUGCAUGGCUGUCGUCAGCUCGUGUCGUGAGAUGUUGGGUUAAGUCCCGCAACGAGCGCAACCCUCGCCUCUAGUUGCCAGCAUUCAGUUGGGCACUCUAGAGGGACUGCCGGUGAUAAGCCGAGAGGAAGGUGGGGAUGACGUCAAGUCCUCAUGGCCCUUACGGGCUGGGCUACACACGUGCUACAAUGGCGGUGACAGUGGGCAGCCAACCAGCGAUGGUGCGCUAAUCCCAAAAAGCCGUCUCAGUUCGGAUUGCACUCUGCAACUCGAGUGCAUGAAGUCGGAAUCGCUAGUAAUCGUAGAUCAGCAUGCUACGGUGAAUACGUUCCCGGGUUUU
This 455-nucleotide ribosomal RNA is filed under the name uncultured Pseudoxanthobacter sp. Its description in RNAcentral is "bacterial SSU rRNA". It matches the Rfam family "Bacterial small subunit ribosomal RNA", at positions 928 to 1382 of the family's 1533-position model. The record is from RNAcentral. Lineage: Bacteria; Pseudomonadati; Pseudomonadota; Alphaproteobacteria; Hyphomicrobiales; Segnochrobactraceae.